This 207-nucleotide ribosomal RNA is filed under the name uncultured bacterium. RNAcentral's name for it is "partial 16S ribosomal RNA". It matches the Rfam family "Bacterial small subunit ribosomal RNA", at positions 568 to 774 of the family's 1533-position model. The record is from RNAcentral.
AGCGCAGGCGGUUGCUUAGGUCUGAUGUGAAAGCCUUCGGCUUAACCGAAGAAGUGCAUCGGAAACCGGGCGACUUGAGUGCAGAAGAGGACAGUGGAACUCCAUGUGUAGCGGUGGAAUGCGUAGAUAUAUGGAAGAACACCAGUGGCGAAGGCGGCUGUCUGGUCUGCAACUGACGCUGAGGCUCGAAAGCAUGGGUAGCGAACA